This 916-nucleotide unclassified non-coding RNA is filed under the name Hevea brasiliensis (rubber tree). The record is from RNAcentral. Lineage: Eukaryota; Viridiplantae; Streptophyta; Magnoliopsida; Malpighiales; Euphorbiaceae.
CACAGAUUCAGGUUCAGCAUCAAACACCAGUGGCCGGAGGAAAUGGUGUGGCGGUUGCUGCUGCUGCAGCCGGUGCUGCCGCUGCUGUAGCGGCACCAGGUGGAGGAGCCACGAGUCAGUUUACGUCCACGUCGUUGUAUGUUGGAGACUUGGACUUUAACAUCACUGAUUCACAGCUCUAUGAUCUGUUCAACCAUGUCGGUCAGGUUGUUUCUGUUAGGGUUUGUAGGGAUCUUAGUACUCGGAGAUCUCUUGGAUAUGGAUAUGUUAACUACAGUAACCCUUCCGAUGCUGCAAGGGCAAUGGAGUUGUUGAACUUCACUCCUGUGAAUGGGAAGUCCAUUAGGGUGAUGUAUUCUCAUAGGGAUCCCACUCUUCGUAAGAGUGGAUCAGCAAAUAUAUUUAUUAAGAAUUUGGACAAGUCGAUUGACAACAAAGCAUUACAUGACACCUUUUCAAGCUUUGGCAACAUUCUUUCUUGCAAGAUAGCUACUGAUUCUAAUGGUCAGUCAAAGGGUUAUGGUUUUGUACAAUUUGACAACGAAGAAUCUGCUCAAGGUGCCAUAGAUAAGUUAAAUGGUAUGUUGAUGAAUGAUAAGCAAGUGUAUGUUGGACACUUUCUUCGCAAACAGGAAAGAGAAUCUACAACUGGCAUGACAAAAUUCAACAAUGUCUAUGUGAAAAAUUUGGCUGAAUCUGCUACCGAUGAUGAGUUGAAGAAUGUUUUUGGUGAGUUUGGGACUAUUACUAGUGCAGUAGUGAUGAGGGAUGCAGAUGGAAAAUCCAAGGGCUUUGGGUUUGUCAAUUUUGAGAAUGCAGAUGAUGCUGCUAAGGCUGUUGAAGCAUUAAAUGGAAAGAAAUUUGACGAAAAAGAAUGGUAUGUUGGGAAAGCACAGAAAAAAUCUGAAAGAGAAAU